Sander lucioperca (pikeperch) is the source of this 465-nucleotide long non-coding RNA. RefSeq lists it as uncharacterized. Lineage: Eukaryota; Metazoa; Chordata; Actinopteri; Perciformes; Percidae. The transcript is spliced from 3 exons. The record is from RefSeq and is a predicted model, not a curated record.
AAUGCGCCGGCUCUUCAGACCUGGAUCAGGUGCAUCAACGAGCGGCAGCAGUAGUACUCUGCCAGGAGCUAGUCUUAAUGCUAGCCAAGUGAUGCAACCCCGAUAUCAAACUCAGCAGUAUUUCGGUGGAUGGACUUCAAAGUCAAGGAAGAGGUCUACUACCCAGAAUCACCCUACCUUCAACAAGGAUGUUGUAUUGUUACCUCAUCCAGCAUGGAGUGAAGUUUGCAAGCAUAAAACCAGAAGAAGGCUUCAUGAAAGUGGCUGUAUUUUAAGUGCCUUUGAAAUGAGAAAAAUGUGGGACUGCAGGACGGUUAUUGCAGAGAUUAGGGAAGCAUUCAAGGACAGAAUUCCUGAGGAUGUCGGUAUUGAACUUUUGAUGCCAUGUGGAAACAAAUUGGUUUCACCGAAGUUGCGCGAAGGACAGGAACUGAAUGGCUUUAUGAUUCACAAAGUAUUCAGAUC